AAUGAAACUCAGAAGAGUUGAUCAAGAGCAGAUCUAGAAGACUCAAACUGAAGUGGAGAAGAUGCUCUUACAUUGAGAAACAAGUGGAGAAGGAGAAAGAGAAAGCUUUAUGAUUUAUGGAUUCAAUUGCAAAACACAGAGAGCUGUGACUGAAACAAGAUAGAAUUUUUUUUGGUUCACGCCAAAAGACCUGUAGAGGAAAACUCGCGUGCUUUUAUUACUAUUACUACUUGUUUGAUUUUGCUGUUGUACUAUUAUUAUAGUAUGUUAUACAUAUGAUCAUCAUUGGCAUAGAUUAUUC
RNAcentral lists this unclassified non-coding RNA (301 nucleotides) under Hevea brasiliensis (rubber tree). The record is from RNAcentral. Lineage: Eukaryota; Viridiplantae; Streptophyta; Magnoliopsida; Malpighiales; Euphorbiaceae.